CGCGGAGUAGGGGAGCGGCGUCCCCGGCAGCCUCAUAAGCUCGCAGAUCGCCGGUUCGAGUCCGGUCUCCGCGU
Molecule: transfer RNA, 74 nt
Filed under: Cryptosporangium aurantiacum
Lineage: Bacteria; Bacillati; Actinomycetota; Actinomycetes; Cryptosporangiales; Cryptosporangiaceae
Description: tRNA_Met_CAT
Rfam family: tRNA
About the family: Transfer RNA (tRNA) molecules are approximately 80 nucleotides in length. Their secondary structure includes four short double-helical elements and three loops (D, anti-codon, and T loops).
Source: RNAcentral